UUAAGCGACUAAGCGUACACGGUGGAUGCCCUGGCAGUCAGAGGCGAUGAAGGACGUGCUAAUCUGCGAUAAGCGUCGGUAAGGUGAUAUGAACCGUUAUAACCGGCGAUUUCCGAAUGGGGAAACCCAGUGUGAUUCGUCACACUAUCAUUAACUGAAUCCAUAGGUUAAUGAGGCGAACCGGGGGAACUGAAACAUCUAAGUACCCCGAGGAAAAGAAAUCAACCGAGAUUCCCCCAGUAGCGGCGAGCGAACGGGGAGGAGCCCAGAGCCUGAAUCAGUGUGUGUGUUAGUGGAAGCGUCUGGAAAGGCGCGCGAUACAGGGUGACAGCCCCGUACACAAAAAUGCACAUAUUGUGAGCUCGAUGAGUAGGGCGGGACACGUGGUAUCCUGUCUGAAUAUGGGGGGACCAUCCUCCAAGGCUAAAUACUCCUGACUGACCGAUAGUGAACCAGUACCGUGAGGGAAAGGCGAAAAGAACCCCGGCGAGGGGAGUGAAAAAGAACCUGAAACCGUGUACGUACAAGCAGUGGGAGCACGCUUAGGCGUGUGACUGCGUACCUUUUGUAUAAUGGGUCAGCGACUUAUAUUCUGUAGCAAGGUUAACCGAAUAGGGGAGCCGAAGGGAAACCGAGUCUUAACUGGGCGUUAAGUUGCAGGGUAUAGACCCGAAACCCGGUGAUCUAGCCAUGGGCAGGUUGAAGGUUGGGUAACACUAACUGGAGGACCGAACCGACUAAUGUUGAAAAAUUAGCGGAUGACUUGUGGCUGGGGGUGAAAGGCCAAUCAAACCGGGAGAUAGCUGGUUCUCCCCGAAAGCUAUUUAGGUAGCGCCUCGUGAAUUCAUCUCCGGGGGUAGAGCACUGUUUCGGCAAGGGGGUCAUCCCGACUUACCAACCCGAUGCAAACUGCGAAUACCGGAGAAUGUUAUCACGGGAGACACACGGCGGGUGCUAACGUCCGUCGUGAAGAGGGAAACAACCCAGACCGCCAGCUAAGGUCCCAAAGUCAUGGUUAAGUGGGAAACGAUGUGGGAAGGCCCAGACAGCCAGGAUGUUGGCUUAGAAGCAGCCAUCAUUUAAAGAAAGCGUAAUAGCUCACUGGUCGAGUCGGCCUGCGCGGAAGAUGUAACGGGGCUAAACCAUGCACCGAAGCUGCGGCAGCGACGCUGAUGCGUUGUUGGGUAGGGGAGCGUUCUGUAAGCCUGUGAAGGUGUACUGUGAGGUAUGCUGGAGGUAUCAGAAGUGCGAAUGCUGACAUAAGUAACGAUAAAGCGGGUGAAAAGCCCGCUCGCCGGAAGACCAAGGGUUCCUGUCCAACGUUAAUCGGGGCAGGGUGAGUCGACCCCUAAGGCGAGGCCGAAAGGCGUAGUCGAUGGGAAACAGGUUAAUAUUCCUGUACUUGGUGUUACUGCGAAGGGGGGACGGAGAAGGCUAUGUUGGCCGGGCGACGGUUGUCCCGGUUUAAGCGUGUAGGCUGGUUUUCCAGGCAAAUCCGGAAAAUCAAGGCUGAGGCGUGAUGACGAGGCACUACGGUGCUGAAGCAACAAAUGCCCUGCUUCCAGGAAAAGCCUCUAAGCAUCAGGUAACAUCAAAUCGUACCCCAAACCGACACAGGUGGUCAGGUAGAGAAUACCAAGGCGCUUGAGAGAACUCGGGUGAAGGAACUAGGCAAAAUGGUGCCGUAACUUCGGGAGAAGGCACGCUGAUAUGUAGGUGAAGUCCCUCGCGGAUGGAGCUGAAAUCAGUCGAAGAUACCAGCUGGCUGCAACUGUUUAUUAAAAACACAGCACUGUGCAAACACGAAAGUGGACGUAUACGGUGUGACGCCUGCCCGGUGCCGGAAGGUUAAUUGAUGGGGUUAGCCGCAAGGCGAAGCUCUUGAUCGAAGCCCCGGUAAACGGCGGCCGUAACUAUAACGGUCCUAAGGUAGCGAAAUUCCUUGUCGGGUAAGUUCCGACCUGCACGAAUGGCGUAAUGAUGGCCAGGCUGUCUCCACCCGAGACUCAGUGAAAUUGAACUCGCUGUGAAGAUGCAGUGUACCCGCGGCAAGACGGAAAGACCCCGUGAACCUUUACUAUAGCUUGACACUGAACAUUGAGCCUUGAUGUGUAGGAUAGGUGGGAGGCUUGGAAGUGUGGACGCCAGUCUGCAUGGAGCCGACCUUGAAAUACCACCCUUUAAUGUUUGAUGUUCUAACGUUGACCCGUAAUCCGGGUUGCGGACAGUGUCUGGUGGGUAGUUUGACUGGGGCGGUCUCCUCCUAAAGAGUAACGGAGGAGCACGAAGGUUGGCUAAUCCUGGUCGGACAUCAGGAGGUUAGUGCAAUGGCAUAAGCCAGCUUGACUGCGAGCGUGACGGCGCGAGCAGGUGCGAAAGCAGGUCAUAGUGAUCCGGUGGUUCUGAAUGGAAGGGCCAUCGCUCAACGGAUAAAAGGUACUCCGGGGAUAACAGGCUGAUACCGCCCAAGAGUUCAUAUCGACGGCGGUGUUUGGCACCUCGAUGUCGGCUCAUCACAUCCUGGGGCUGAAGUAGGUCCCAAGGGUAUGGCUGUUCGCCAUUUAAAGUGGUACGCGAGCUGGGUUUAGAACGUCGUGAGACAGUUCGGUCCCUAUCUGCCGUGGGCGCUGGAGAACUGAGGGGGGCUGCUCCUAGUACGAGAGGACCGGAGUGGACGCAUCACUGGUGUUCGGGUUGUCAUGCCAAUGGCACUGCCCGGUAGCUAAAUGCGGAAGAGAUAAGUGCUGAAAGCAUCUAAGCACGAAACUUGCCCCGAGAUGAGUUCUCCCUGACCCUUUAAGGGUCCUGAAGGAACGUUGAAGACGACGACGUUGAUAGGCCGGGUGUGUAAGCGCAGCGAUGCGUUGAGCUAACCGGUACUAAUGAACCGUGAGGCUUAACCUU
Molecule: ribosomal RNA, 2904 nt
Filed under: Escherichia coli
Lineage: Bacteria; Pseudomonadati; Pseudomonadota; Gammaproteobacteria; Enterobacterales; Enterobacteriaceae
Description: 23S ribosomal RNA
Rfam family: Bacterial large subunit ribosomal RNA
Source: RNAcentral